RNAcentral lists this ribosomal RNA (258 nucleotides) under uncultured Rhodocista sp. Its description in RNAcentral is "partial 16S ribosomal RNA". It matches the Rfam family "Bacterial small subunit ribosomal RNA", at positions 82 to 355 of the family's 1533-position model. Lineage: Bacteria; Pseudomonadati; Pseudomonadota; Alphaproteobacteria; Rhodospirillales; Azospirillaceae. The record is from RNAcentral.
AUGUAGUUACUUAGUGGCGGACGGCUGAGUAACGCGUGGGAACGCACCCUACACUGAGGGAUAAGAUACCGAAAGGUGUUCUAAUACCGCAUACGGUCUUCGGAUUAAAGUCUUCGGACGGUGAAGGAGCGGCCCGCGUCAUAUUAGGUAGUUGGUGGGGUAAUGGCCUACCAAGCCGAUGAUGUGUAGCUGGUCUGAGAGGAUGAUCAGCCAGACUGGAACUGAGAACGGUCCAGACUCCUACGGGAGGCAGCAGCC